RNAcentral lists this ribosomal RNA (497 nucleotides) under uncultured bacterium. Its description in RNAcentral is "partial 16S ribosomal RNA". It matches the Rfam family "Bacterial small subunit ribosomal RNA", at positions 28 to 507 of the family's 1533-position model. The record is from RNAcentral.
GAUGAACGCUGGCGGCGUGCCUAAUACAUGCAAGUCGAGCGAACAGACGAGGAGCUUGCUCCUCUGACGUUAGCGGCGGACGGGUGAGUAACACGUGGAUAACCUACCUAUAAGACUUGGAUAACUUCGGGAAACCGGAGCUAAUACCGGAUAAUAUAUUGAACCGCAUGGUUCAAUAGUGAAAGACGGUUUUGCUGUCACUUAUAGAUGGAUCCGCGCCGCAUUAGCUAGUUGGUAAGGUAACGGCUUACCAAGGCAACGAUGCGUAGCCGACCUGAGAGGGUGAUCGGCCGCACUGGAACUGAGACACGGUCCAGACUCCUACGGGAGGCAGCAGUAGGGAAUCUUCCGCAAUGGGCGAAAGCCUGACGGAGCAACGCCGCGUGAGUGAUGAAGGUCUUCGGAUCGUAAAACUCUGUUAUUAGGGAAGAACAAAUGUGUAAGUAACUAUGCACGUCUUGACGGUACCUAAUCAGAAAGCCACGGCUAACUACGUG